UUGAAGGUGAAUUCCAUUGCGG
RNAcentral lists this non-coding RNA (22 nucleotides) under Arabidopsis thaliana (thale cress). Lineage: Eukaryota; Viridiplantae; Streptophyta; Magnoliopsida; Brassicales; Brassicaceae. The record is from RNAcentral.